Molecule: ribosomal RNA, 743 nt
Filed under: uncultured marine eukaryote
Lineage: Eukaryota
Description: SSU rRNA
Rfam family: Eukaryotic small subunit ribosomal RNA
Source: RNAcentral
UAAAUUGCCCAAUCUCGACACGGGGAGGUAGUGACAAUAAAUACUGAUACAGGGCUCUUUUGGGUCUUGUAAUUGGAAUGAGUACAAUUUAAACCUCUUAACGAGGAACAAUUGGAGGGCAAGUCUGGUGCCAGCAGCCGCGGUAAUUCCAGCUCCAAUAGCGUAUAUUAAAGUUGUUGCAGUUAAAAAGCUCGUAGUUGAAACUUGGGCCUGGCUGGCGGGUCCGCCUCACCGCGUGCACUCGUCCGGCCGGGCCUUCCUUCUGAAGAACCUCAUGCCCUUCACUGGGCGUGCUGGGGAAUCAGGACUUUUACUUUGAAAAAAUUAGAGUGUUCAAAGCAGGCCUUUGCUCGAAUACGUUAGCAUGGAAUAAUAAAAUAGGGCGUGCGUUUCUAUUUUGUUGGUUUCUAGAGACGCCGCAAUGAUUAACAGGAACAGUCGGGGGCAUCAGUAUUCAGUUGUCAGAGGUGAAAUUCUUGGAUUUACUGAAGACUAACUACUGCGAAAGCAUUUGCCAAGGAUGUUUUCAUUAAUCAGUGAACGAAAGUUAGGGGAUCGAAGACGAUCAGAUACCGUCGUAGUCUUAACCGUAAACUAUGCCGACUAGGGAUCGGGCGAUGUUCUUUUUCUGACUCGCUCGGCACCUUACGAGAAAUCAAAGUUUUUGGGUUCUGGGGGGAUUAUGGUCGCAAGGCUGAAACUUAAAGAAAUUGACGGAAGGUCACCACCAGGCGUGGAGCCUG